AGGUGUGCUCUAAUGUGGAAAUAAUGUCACAGCCGCAUGUGCUGAAUUGAUCACAGUACGAAAUUAUAAAUGAGAAUUCAGGCGGAUGACAUUGUCAGGUGGGGAGUUUGGCUGGGGCGGCACAUCUGUUAAAAGAUAACGUAGGUGUCCUAAGAUGAGCUCAACGAGAAUAGAAAUCUCGUGUGGAACAAAAGGGUAAAAGCUCAUUUGACGUCAUAAAAUCUUGUCAAAAAAUAUAAGAUUAUUAAAAUCGUAAGGUUUUAUUUCCAAAGCAAUAUGAUAGAUAAUUUAC
RNAcentral lists this non-coding RNA (292 nucleotides) under Selaginella moellendorffii. RNAcentral describes it as "Eukaryotic large subunit ribosomal RNA". It matches the Rfam family "Eukaryotic large subunit ribosomal RNA", at positions 2547 to 2818 of the family's 3401-position model. The record is from Rfam by way of RNAcentral. Lineage: Eukaryota; Viridiplantae; Streptophyta; Lycopodiopsida; Selaginellales; Selaginellaceae.